CGGGGCGUAGCUCAGCUUGGUUAGAGAGCGCUUGGUUCGGGUUCAAGAGGUCGCUGGUUCAAAUCCAGUCGCCCCGA
This 77-nucleotide transfer RNA is filed under the name Candidatus Omnitrophota bacterium. Its description in RNAcentral is "Candidatus Omnitrophica bacterium tRNA-Pro". It matches the Rfam family "tRNA". Rfam says of the family: Transfer RNA (tRNA) molecules are approximately 80 nucleotides in length. Lineage: Bacteria; Pseudomonadati; Candidatus Omnitrophota. RNAcentral also lists the same sequence under 1 other name. The record is from RNAcentral.